This 1522-nucleotide ribosomal RNA is filed under the name metagenome. Its description in RNAcentral is "bacterial SSU rRNA". It matches the Rfam family "Bacterial small subunit ribosomal RNA". The record is from RNAcentral.
AGAGUUUGAUCAUGGCUCAGAUUGAACGCUGGCGGCAGGCCUAACACAUGCAAGUCGAACGGUAACAGGAAACAGCUUGCUGUUUCGCUGACGAGUGGCGGACGGGUGAGUAAUGUCUGUGAAACUGCCUGAUGGAGGGGGAUAACUACUGGAAACGGUAGCUAAUACCGCAUAACGUCGCAAGACCAAAGAGGGGGACCUUCGGGCCUCUUGCCAUCAGAUGUGCCCAGAUGGGAUUAGCUAGUAGGUGGGGUAACGGCUCACCUAGGCGACGAUCCCUAGCUGGUCUGAGAGGAUGACCAGCCACACUGGAACUGAGACACGGUCCAGACUCCUACGGGAGGCAGCAGUGGGGAAUAUUGCACAAUGGGCGCAAGCCUGAUGCAGCCAUGCCGCGUGUAUGAAGAAGGCCUUCGGGUUGUAAAGUACUUUCAGCGGGGAGGAAGGGAGUAAAGUUAAUACCUUUGCUCAUUGACGUUACCCGCAGAAGAAGCACCGGCUAACUCCGUGCCAGCAGCCGCGGUAAUACGGAGGGUGCAAGCGUUAAUCGGAAUUACUGGGCGUAAAGCGCACGCAGGCGGUUUGUUAAGUCAGAUGUGAAAUCCCCGGGCUCAACCUGGGAACUGCAUCUGAUACUGGCAAGCUUGAGUCUCGUAGAGGGGGGUAGAAUUCCAGGUGUAGCGGUGAAAUGCGUAGAGAUCUGGAGGAAUACCGGUGGCGAAGGCGGCCCCCUGGACGAAGACUGACGCUCAGGUGCGAAAGCGUGGGGAGCAAACAGGAUUAGAUACCCUGGUAGUCCACGCCGUAAACGAUGUCGACUUGGAGGUUGUGCCCUUGAGGCGUGGCUUCCGGAGCUAACGCGUUAAGUCGACCGCCUGGGGAGUACGGCCGCAAGGUUAAAACUCAAAUGAAUUGACGGGGGCCCGCACAAGCGGUGGAGCAUGUGGUUUAAUUCGAUGCAACGCGAAGAACCUUACCUGGUCUUGACAUCCACGGAAGUUUUCAGAGAUGAGAAUGUGCCUUCGGGAACCGUGAGACAGGUGCUGCAUGGCUGUCGUCAGCUCGUGUUGUGAAAUGUUGGGUUAAGUCCCGCAACGAGCGCAACCCUUAUCCUUUGUUGCCAGCGGUCCGGCCGGGAACUCAAAGGAGACUGCCAGUGAUAAACUGGAGGAAGGUGGGGAUGACGUCAAGUCAUCAUGGCCCUUACGACCAGGGCUACACACGUGCUACAAUGGCGCAUACAAAGAGAAGCGACCUCGCGAGAGCAAGCGGACCUCAUAAAGUGCGUCGUAGUCCGGAUUGGAGUCUGCAACUCGACUCCAUGAAGUCGGAAUCGCUAGUAAUCGUGGAUCAGAAUGCCACGGUGAAUACGUUCCCGGGCCUUGUACACACCGCCCGUCACACCAUGGGAGUGGGUUGCAAAAGAAGUAGGUAGCUUAACCUUCGGGAGGGCGCUUACCACUUUGUGAUUCAUGACUGGGGUGAAGUCGUAACAAGGUAACCGUAGGGGAACCUGCGGUUG